This 468-nucleotide ribosomal RNA is filed under the name uncultured bacterium. RNAcentral's name for it is "partial 16S ribosomal RNA". It matches the Rfam family "Bacterial small subunit ribosomal RNA", at positions 28 to 507 of the family's 1533-position model. The record is from RNAcentral.
GACGAACGCUGGCGGCGUGCUUAACACAUGCAAGUCGAACGGAAAGGCCCUGCUUUUGUGGGGUGCUCGAGUGGCGAACGGGUGAGUAACACGUGAGUAACCUGCCCUUGACUUUGGGAUAACUUCAGGAAACUGGGGCUAAUACCGGAUAGGAGCUCCUGCUGCAUGGUGUGGGUUGGAAAGUUUCGGCGGUUGUGGAUGGACUCGCGGCUUAUCAGCUUGUUUGUGGGGUAGUGGCGUACCAAGGGUUUGACGGGUAGCCGGCCUGAGAGGGUGACCGGCCACAUUGGGACUGAGAUACGGCCCAGACUCCUACGGGAGGCAGCAGUGGAGAAUAUUGCACAAUGGGCGGAAGCCUGAUGCAGCAACGCCGCGUGCGGGAUGACGGCCUUCGGGUUGUAAACCGCUUUCGCCUGUGACGAAGCGUGAGUGACGGUAAUGGGUAAAGAAGCACCGGCUAACUACGUG